ACCUUGUGACUUUAAUGUAGCUCAGUCAGUAAGAGCAUGAGAUUCUUAAUCUCAGGGUUGUGGGUUCGAGACCCACGUUGGGCA
This is a non-coding RNA of Podarcis lilfordi (Lilford's wall lizard), 84 nucleotides long. NCBI's taxonomy places the organism in Eukaryota, Metazoa, Chordata, Lepidosauria, Squamata, Lacertidae. The record is from the annotation of a GenBank genome assembly.